GACGGAGGGUGCUAGCGUUGUUCGGAAUGACUGGGCGUAAAGGGCGCGUAGGCGGCCGCUUGCGUCGGAUGUGAAAGCCCGGGGCUCAACCCCGGAACGGCAUCCGAUACGGAGCGGCUCGAGACCGAGAGAGGUGAGUGGAAUACCCAGUGUAGAGGUGAAAUUCGUAGAUAUUGGGUGGAACACCGGUGGCGAAAGCGGCUCACUGGCUCGGUUCUGACGCUGAGGCGCGAAAGCGUGGGGAGCAAACAGG
This 253-nucleotide ribosomal RNA is filed under the name uncultured bacterium. RNAcentral's name for it is "partial 16S ribosomal RNA". It matches the Rfam family "Bacterial small subunit ribosomal RNA", at positions 524 to 776 of the family's 1533-position model. The record is from RNAcentral.